UACGUAGGUGACCAGCGUUGUCCGGAUUUACUGGGCGUAAAGAGCGCGCAGGCGGUCGUUCAAGUCGAGUGUGAAAGCCCCCGGCUCAACUGGGGAGGGUCACUCGAUACUGAUCGACUCGAAGGCAGGAGAGGGAAGCGGAAUUCCCGGUGUAGUGGUGAAAUGCGUAGAUAUUGGGAGGAACACCGGUGGCGAAGGCGGCCCUCUGGACCGGUACUGACGCUGAUGCGCGAAAGCCAGGGGAGCGAACGGG
Molecule: ribosomal RNA, 253 nt
Filed under: uncultured bacterium
Lineage: Bacteria
Description: partial 16S ribosomal RNA
Rfam family: Bacterial small subunit ribosomal RNA
Source: RNAcentral